Angiostrongylus costaricensis is the source of this 45-nucleotide non-coding RNA. The record is from Rfam. Lineage: Eukaryota; Metazoa; Nematoda; Chromadorea; Rhabditida; Metastrongylidae.
CCAACGGCCCUCUUUAGGGCCACAAUUGGAGUGGUAGGAUUACGU